CUCUUAUAGAGCAAUAACAGUCCCAUAGAGAGACAAGGAGAAGGAGGAAGAGGGUUGUGAGAGAGGAAGAAGCUUCACACAUCAAUUAAGAGCCUGACAGACCCUAAAGAGUUGCGAUGAAGAGCAGAACCUCACUUUUUAUAAAGUUGAAAAGCAAAGUAAAUGUAAGAAAAGUAAAGAAGAAAAGAAUUGCAAGGUAUGAACUCGGAAUUGUGAGAUAUGAACUCGGAAUUGCGAGGUAUGAACUCCGAAUUGUGAGAUAUGAACUCGGAAUUGUGAGGUAUUAACUCGGAAUUGCGAGGUAUGAACUCGGAGUUGUGAGGUAUGAACUCGGAGUUGUGAGGUAUGAACUCGGAGUUGCGAGGUAUGAACUCGGAGUUGUGAGGUAUGAACUCGGAAUUGUGAGGUAUGAACUCGGAAUUGCGGGGUAUGAACCCGGAAUUGUGAAAUAAUAAAUUUGGAAUUGCGAGGUAUGAACUCGGCGUU
Cyprinus carpio (common carp) is the source of this 486-nucleotide long non-coding RNA. The record is from Ensembl. Lineage: Eukaryota; Metazoa; Chordata; Actinopteri; Cypriniformes; Cyprinidae.